Ficedula albicollis (Collared flycatcher) is the source of this 420-nucleotide long non-coding RNA. RefSeq lists it as uncharacterized. The record is from RefSeq and is a predicted model, not a curated record. The transcript has 4 exons. NCBI's taxonomy places the organism in Eukaryota, Metazoa, Chordata, Aves, Passeriformes, Muscicapidae.
CAGGCUCCCAAACAACUCUCAUCUCCCAAAAUUCCCCUGCCAUAGGAACCACAGUAUGAGUGGAAUUUGCUUCAAAAGCAAAGACCAAGAAGACUUGGUAAUGUACAUAUGGCUGAAGUCUUGAGAAGGACCCAGAACAAAAGUCGCAAUAAGAAAAAAGGGCUCAGUUUUUAUAGAAGAAGUUAUCACUUGACAGGUCAAGGUCAGCCCUUGAGGAGGACAACAAGUUGGGCUGAUGGAGGCAUCAUGUUCUGACCAGGCAGGAGAGAUGAUUUCUGCAGUGGAACUGGAGAACUUUUGGGAGAUCACACUGACCUUGUAAAGUCCAAGAAAACAAUAAAGACAUGGGGAGAAGAAAAAAGAUCAGGGACCAAUUUGAAGGGAACACAAUGAAGUGCAUGCAUAUAAUGGAGAAGAUAU